RNAcentral lists this ribosomal RNA (253 nucleotides) under uncultured prokaryote. RNAcentral describes it as "partial 16S ribosomal RNA". It matches the Rfam family "Bacterial small subunit ribosomal RNA", at positions 524 to 776 of the family's 1533-position model. The record is from RNAcentral.
UACGAAGGGGGCUAGCGUUGCUCGGAAUUACUGGGCGUAAAGGGAGCGUAGGCGGGUUAUCAAGUUGGAGGUGAAAGCCCAGGGCUCAACCUUGGAAUUGCCUUCAAAACUGAUAGCCUAGAGUAUGAUAGAGGUAUGUGGAACUCCGAGUGUAGAGGUGAAAUUCGUAGAUAUUCGGAAGAACACCAGUGGCGAAGGCGGCUACCUGGACAGAUACUGACACUGAGGCGCGAGAGCGUGGGGAGCAAACAGG